RNAcentral lists this ribosomal RNA (384 nucleotides) under Triticum aestivum (bread wheat). RNAcentral describes it as "partial small subunit ribosomal RNA". The record is from RNAcentral. Lineage: Eukaryota; Viridiplantae; Streptophyta; Magnoliopsida; Poales; Poaceae.
AUGGGUACGUACUGUGGUCAUGAGCUAUGUGUGGUAUGCCAUGGUAGAGCUGAUUUUGUGUUUCUUGAAGGUUUGUCGGGCGCUACGAAUUUAGAGUUGACAGCUGAAUACUUUAUGUACUUCCAUGGACUAGUUUUCUUUCUCAAGCACUCACCGAUUCUAGAGAGGCUUACCCUUGAACACUCUACUUUAUCUAAGCAAUGGUAUGGUGACACGACUGAAACCUGCAAGCCAAAGGACAAAUUCUUGGUAUCAAAACAUCUCAAGGCAGUCGAAAUCAAUCAUGUGAAAGAUGAUAAAAGGAUUCACCUAUUAUUGAAGGUCCUUGCUUUCCAUGGAGUAUAUUCGGAACUAAUAAACUUUAAAGAGAAGUAUACUUCUUAA